This 399-nucleotide ribosomal RNA is filed under the name Boiruna maculata. RNAcentral's name for it is "partial large subunit ribosomal RNA". It matches the Rfam family "Bacterial large subunit ribosomal RNA", at positions 1968 to 2583 of the family's 2925-position model. Lineage: Eukaryota; Metazoa; Chordata; Lepidosauria; Squamata; Dipsadidae. The record is from RNAcentral.
UUUGUCUAUUAAUUGUAGACCAGUAUGAAAGGCAACAUGAGGGCCUAACUGUCUCUNGUNAUANAUCAAUUAAACUGAUCUUCUAGUAAAAAAGCUAGAAUCCCACCAUAAGACCAGAAGACCCUGUGAAGCUUAAACUAAACUAUUAAAACAUAUAAUAGCUACUUUCGGUUGGGGCGANCCUGGAAAAAAAAAGAACUUCCAACAAUAACACAUAUCAAAUCACACAGGCCCACAAGCCACACCAAUGACCCAGCACAGCUGAUCAUUGAACCAAGUUACUCCAGGGAUAACAGCGCUAUCUUCUUCAAGAGCNCAUAUCAAAAAGAAGGUUUACGACCUCGAUGUUGGAUCAGGACAUCCUAAUGGCGCAGCCGCUAUUANGGGUUCGUUUGUUCA